AGCCAACUUCAAGAUAAGAUUUCCCACCGCAAGGGUAAGACCCCAGAAAGACUAUCUGGUUGAUAGGUCGAAGGUGUAAGUGCAGCAAUGUAUUUAGCUUAUCGAUACUAAUAGGUCGAGGACUUGACCAAUAUUUAUU
RNAcentral lists this ribosomal RNA (139 nucleotides) under Clostridioides difficile. RNAcentral describes it as "partial 23S ribosomal RNA". It matches the Rfam family "Bacterial large subunit ribosomal RNA", at positions 2791 to 2925 of the family's 2925-position model. Lineage: Bacteria; Bacillati; Bacillota; Clostridia; Peptostreptococcales; Peptostreptococcaceae. The record is from RNAcentral.